UUCAUCCCUUCUCACGCAUGAGCCGUCACGCUCGACGCAAAACGCAUCCGUUGCUGUUUUAAGUCACGCCUGCUGCAAGUUUUCUUUUGCUUGUGUGCGCCUGGAUAAUGAACUGACUGCGCCAUUCAACCGGAGGACAACGAAGCAACUGUCGUCGCCACGUGCCUCCCAGCUAACCUACAAGGUUAAUCCCGUGCAACCACGUGGCCGUGUCACUACUCCGGGGAACAACGCAACCAAGUGACCGUGUCACUACUCCCGAGAACAACCCAACCAAGUGACCGUGUCACUACUCCGGGGAACAACGCAACCACGUGACCGUGGCACUUCUCUGAGGGACAAUGGAGCAACCGUCGUCGCUACGUUUGAUCUUCGGCAGUUAUAUUCACCAGGUGCGAUUCUAGCUUGCGAGGGUGGCGCGGCUACUAAAUCAACUAAUUGGCAAUGUUAAUUGUUUUAGACUGAUUGGCAAGAGAAGGGCCGCUGCCACAUUGGGUCGUCGUCGUGACGCAAGCGGAGAGGACUGGGCGGGGCGAUUGUAGCUUUAGGCUUAUAGCUAACACUAGGAAGGGUAGCUCGCGCUGUGCAGGCUCCAGCUGGCAGGGGUCCUCUCUCGUUUGCGACACGGACAUCGGCCCAUUCCGAGUGCUAUUGCUUCCCGGUCAUAAUUUCGCGUGUCGGCGAGCACGAAAUGUGGAAGUAAAUUGCACCCGGAAUUAAUUAGUGUCAGGUUUCUUCCAGCAAAACAGAAGAAGAACGGACGUUGCCUACGGUCUGCAGCGCGGCGCGCUGCAGCGAAGACGGUGGUGGGUGGCCGCAUUUUUUUUCCGUAUGUUCUCGUCCUAAUGUGGUGUCACGCCGUGCUUUCGUCGCUUGACAAGCCAACCAUCGUGGACUAGUCCCAUCGCCCACUCCAGCGCGAUGACGCUUGGUGAGUACGUGCUUUCUGGUUACUUUCGUCAUUUAACAAGUGCCCCCCCCCCCCUUUUUUUUUUACGUUUCAGAUCUGCAACCUGUGCCUUGGCCCCUGGCAGAUGUUCCUGCACCCGGCCGUGUCUCGCCCAGAUCACGUUCAGUACCCGCCUGUCGUCCAGCAGCUGAUCGGGACUUCACUUCUGGUGUCCUGGUGAAUGAAGAUGCCUGCAAUAGCCGCCCUGCAGAGCGUUCACUGCACUCCACAUCCUUUGAUGCCAGACGCACGCGACGGAUUUUCCUGCACCCGGCCCUCUCUCGCACAGAUGAUGUUCAGCACCAGUCGUCCCACGGCUCAUCGUGUCACUUCUGUUCCUGCCUCAUUGCUAUUGGUGUCCUGCUGAAUUAAGAUGCUUGCAAUUUCUGUGCUGCAGUACGUCGACUGCAUUCUGCAACCCUUGUCUCGACAUCUGCCGUCCGUCAAGGUCUGUACCACCAGUGUAAUAUGCAAUGACACCAAGUGCAGACCGUAGGGAGGUAGGCGUUUCUCUCGCCACUCAUCGCAUUGCUGCUCCCGAAAACGUCGUGCUGCAGGAAACGUUCUUCGCUUCCUCGACGAGGCCACACAACUAUGAAGUCCCAAGAAAGAGCGCGACGUCGCGUGACAUGAAUGCUCAUCUAACAUCCCGGUUGGAGUUGCUCGUUCGACCCUAUCGAAGAUGACGGCCACUUGAUGAAGUCGCAUAUUUUUCAGUGGCUGUGACCGUAUGACGGGGGUACCCAGGUAACAUGCUGUUCUAGCUCAUCGUAGUGGUACACUGCUCAGACUCUAGCAUUGGGUUGAUGUGGGGAUUCUUGCUUCUUACGUUCAUUGGCAUUCUGUGCUUUUGUAAUGGUACAACGAUGCUGCUUUGCGUUUCCGAAUUGUGCGCGCGCGCGCAUUGCGCAUUGGUGUGUGUUUGUGUG
Molecule: long non-coding RNA, 1878 nt
Organism: Dermacentor silvarum
Lineage: Eukaryota; Metazoa; Arthropoda; Arachnida; Ixodida; Ixodidae
Exons: 4
Source: RefSeq, a predicted model, not a curated record